Molecule: ribosomal RNA, 449 nt
Filed under: uncultured bacterium
Lineage: Bacteria
Description: partial 16S ribosomal RNA
Rfam family: Bacterial small subunit ribosomal RNA
Source: RNAcentral
AGCGAACGCUGGCGGCAGGCCUAACACAUGCAAGUCGAACGAACUCUUCGGAGUUAGUGGCGGACGGGUGAGUAACACGUGGGAACGUGCCUUUAGGUUCGGAAUAACUCAGGGAAACUUGUGCUAAUACCGAAUGUGCCCUUUGGGGGAAGGAUUUAUCGCCUUUAGAGCGGCCCGCGUCUGAUUAGCUAGUUGGUGAGGUAAAGGCUCACCAAGGCGACGAUCAGUAGCUGGUCUGAGAGGAUGAUCAGCCACAUUGGGACUGAGACACGGCCCAAACUCCUACGGGAGGCAGCAGUGGGGAAUCUUGCGCAAUGGGCGAAAGCCUGACGCAGCCAUGCCGCGUGAAUGAUGAAGGUCUUAGGAUUGCAAAAUUCUUUCACCGGGGACGAUAAUGACGGUACCCGGAGAAGAAGCCCCGGCUAACUUCGUGCCAGCCGCCGCCGUAA